Molecule: ribosomal RNA, 568 nt
Filed under: uncultured Saprospiraceae bacterium
Lineage: Bacteria; Pseudomonadati; Bacteroidota; Saprospiria; Saprospirales; Saprospiraceae
Description: bacterial SSU rRNA
Rfam family: Bacterial small subunit ribosomal RNA
Source: RNAcentral
AUACCCCAUAGUAUAUUUGGAUGGCAUCAUUUGAAUAUUAAAGAUUUAUCACUUGAAGAUGGCUGUGCGUAUGAUUAGGUAGUUGGCGGGGUAACGGCCCACCAAGCCUACGAUCAUUAACUGGUGUGAGAGCACGACCAGUCACACGGGCACUGAGACACGGGCCCGACUCCUACGGGAGGCAGCAGUAAGGAAUAUUGGUCAAUGGACGCAAGUCUGAACCAGCCAUGCCGCGUGGAGGAUGAAGGUCCUCUGGAUUGUAAACUUCUUUUAUCUGGGACGAAAAAAGGGAAUUCUUUCCCGUCUGACGGUACCAGAUGAAUAAGCACCGGCUAACUCCGUGCCAGCAGCCGCGGUAAUACGGAGGGUGCAAGCGUUAUCCGGAUUCACUGGGUUUAAAGGGUGCGUAGGCGGGUAUGUAAGUCCGUGGUGAAAUCUCCGAGCUUAACUCGGAAACUGCCAUGGGUACUGCGUAUCUUGAAUGUUGUGGAGGUGAGCGGAAUAUGUCAUGUAGCGGUGAAAUGCUUAGAUAUGACAUAGAACACCAAUUGCGAAGGCAGCUCACUAC